RNAcentral lists this ribosomal RNA (253 nucleotides) under uncultured bacterium. RNAcentral's name for it is "partial 16S ribosomal RNA". It matches the Rfam family "Bacterial small subunit ribosomal RNA", at positions 524 to 776 of the family's 1533-position model. The record is from RNAcentral.
UACGGGGGGGGCAAGCGUUGUUCGGAAUUACUGGGCGUAAAGGGCUCGUAGGUGGCCAACUAAGUCGGACGUGAAAUCCCUCAGCUUAACUGGGGAACUGCGUCCGAUACUGGAUGGCUUGAGUUUGGGAGAGGGAUGCGGAAUUCCAGGUGUAGCGGUGAAAUGCGUAGAUAUCUGGAGGAACACCGGUGGCGAAGGCGGCAUCCUGGACCAACACUGACACUGAGGAGCGAAAGCCAAGGGAGCAAACGGG